GUACCUGGUUCAUCUCAUUGGGACUGGUUAGGCAGUGGUGUAGCCCAAGGAGGGUGAGCCAAAGCAGGGUGGGGCGUUGCCUCACCUGGAAGUGCAAGGGGCCAGGAAACUGCCUCUCCUAGCCAAGGGAAGCCAUUAGGGACUUCUGCGGCACUCUGGCACAAAUUACAAAGUCAGUGCUAUCCACAGUACCUAAGCUAUAAUUAACACAAAGCUCUAAAAGCUGCAUAGAGUUUAACUGAAAUUGCUGCACAGUCUGAAGGAACGUUCUAGAAACUAAUUUUGGAAGAUGUUCAGUCCUAGGUUAUGAAAAAAUGUUCUGCUAUUUUACAACUCUAGCAGGAACAGCUAAGUCCCCAAUAUUCAGUCUAUUAAUGUCCCCAGUGAGAGUCUUCAAAACUCAUGAGUAACAAUGCAAGAAUUUCCCAGCCUCUAACAUGUGACCCACUUCUAUGUUAUUAACUCUAAUAAACUGACCAACGUUUUUGUCGUCACAGAACUUAUAAUUAUGUGGUUAAAGAUGCUUCAGAUAUACCACAUUCUUUCACACUGUGGCAGAAACUACUGGUUAAAUAACCCAGCUAUAUCUAUUUUCCUUGUCCACCCUUUACAAAAGAGACUGGAAAAAAGCUGGACACUUGCUCCUUUCCCAUCCUCCUUUGCAGGUGAGCAUCACCGUGUGACUCAGUUCUGGCCAAUUAGAUAGGAAGAAAGUCUUCUGGGAUGGAAAAAGAUUUUUUCUUUGUUAAUGAAAAAGAGAAUGCCUCUACAAGAAAAGACCUUUUCCAAUACCACUCUGUUGCCCACUUCCUACCUUGAUGUUGUUUGGAGCUACAGCACCCAUUCCAAGAUAAUGAGGUGACCUUUGGCAUCACAUUCCUAUGAAGUUCCUCCCUCACUGAAUAUGGGCUGGCCUGUGACUUCUGUAACAAUUGAACAUGGCAGAAAAGAUGCUGUGCCUAUUCCAGAAACAUGCCUCAAGAAGGCUUGGCAGUCCUGGCUUUUGCACUUUGGGAUCCCUUAGCCACCAUGUAAGAAGUUCACCUAUCAAGCUGGGAAGACCUUGUAGAGACCACAUAGAGAAAAAGAGGCCUGAGACUACAUGGGAAGGACAGCUUCAGUCAUUUCAUUAUGCCAGCUAUAUUGAGGCUUCCAGCCAUCCCUACCAAGCCACCAGGUAUGUAAUGAGCUAUCUUGGACAGUACCACAUCUGACUUAAACUUCCAGAUGUUUGUAGCCCCAGGCAUUGUCUCAUUGCAAUAGCAAGAGAACACCAAAAGCUAAAGAACCAUCUUGCUGAACCGUCUUACUCACAGAUUUGUGAAAGGUAAAAAUGGUAGUUAUUUCAAUCCACUCACUACUUGCAUAGUUUGUUGUAAAACAAUAGAUAACCAUAACAUAUUAAAAGAAAAUAUGUAUAAGGUUAUCUUUAAGCUUACAGAGCGCCCAUUUGGAAAAAAUCUACAUUUAUUCAUAAUUUUAAAAAAUUCUGAAGCAAAACUUGGGAUUAGGGAGUUAAUUUUCUUAAUCUUAUAAAAGGGAUCUACAAAAUAUCCACAACAAUUACACUUGAUAGCAAAUCCUCAUUUUGAGAUCAAGAUGAUGACAAAAAUGUCCACUAUUACCACUUUUUAAUCAGAAUUAUACUGUAGGUUCCAGUCAGUGCAGUGAGGCAAAGAAAAGAAAAAGAAUAAGGAUUAGAAAGGAAAAACCAGAAAUGUCAUUUUAAAAUGAUAGGACUUUAUAUGUAAGAAAUCCCAAAGAAACUUCAGAUACAUUAUUUUAACUAAGAGAUAAAAUUUGGAUAGAAAAUCAAUGCACAAAAAUCAGUUAUAGUAUUAUAUACUAGAAGCCAGAAAGUAAACAAUUAAAAAGACAGCAUUCAUAAUAGCAUUAAAAAUAUGUAAGAAUAAGUCUAACAAAAGAGUUGCAAGAGUUGAGUAAAAUUAUAAAAUGUUAUUAAUAGAUAUUAAAGAAUACCUAGGUAAAUGAUCAUAGAUUGGGAGCCUCAAUAAUGUAAAUAUAUAAAUUGUCCUCUGUUGCAAUCACAAUGAAAUUCCCCAAUUUUUUUUUUCACCCAACAAGCUGAUUCUAAAAUGUAUAUGGAGUUUCAAAGGAUAAGUAAGAUACAAGAACAACAAGGGGACAUCCUCUACCAGGUAUCAAGAGUGACUAUUAAGUUAGAAUUAACUGGGGUCAGAGAUAGGCCAAAAUACCAGUGGAACAAUGCAAGGUCAGAAACCUGUGUAUAGGUAUUUGCUGUAUGACAGCAGUUACAAGGCAGUUUGGUAGAGAAAGAACAGAGUUUAAUAAAUACUGCCAGGAAAAUUGAAUAUUCAUAAGAAAAAAAUCACAGAUCAAUUUUACACAAUAUACAAAAUUGUUUUCACACAUUUUAUUUCUCAAAAGAUGAGAAAAAAAUUACUUUUCACAUAAUAUACAAAGUAAUCCAAUGAGUUUAAGAUAUUAAUAGAAGAGGAUAAACUAUAGAACUUAGAAAAUACAGAGAAACAUUUUCAUGAGUGAAAGGUAGUAAAGAGUGUCUUAAAACACAAAAAGUGUUGACUCUAAGGAAAAGGUUAUAGAUUUUACUACAUUUUUAAAGUGUUCAUCAGAGAGAUACUGUUAAAAGACUGAAAAGAUGAGCCAUCGCUUGGGAGAAGAUAUUUGAAACCUGUAUAACCAACAAAGGGUCCCUUUCUUGAAGAUAUGAAGAACUCUUCUAAAUCACAAGGACAACACAAUAGAAAAAUGUCUGCAAACGACUCCAGUCUCUUUACAAAAGAGGAAAUUCAAAUGACUAAUAAAUGCUCUACAUGAAAGUGUGCUCAACAUUGCUGUGAAUAUGGAAUACAUAAAUUAAAACAAAAUUAAAUACUCUUACUCAUCUACCAGUUGACAAACCACUUUAAAUUGAAAAUACCAAAUGUUGAGAGAAUGUAAAAUACUGGGAACCCUCAUACACGGCUGGUGUAAAUGGUACUUUUUUUUUUAUUGUCUACUCAAGCUGAAGACAACUUAUCGUCAAUGACUUCAAUUUUGGGGGCAUACUUUAGAAAAACAGGUACACACAUGCCCCAGGAUUAUUGCAGACUGUAAUCAUGCAAAUCUGAGAUACCCAUCCUGCAUAGAAUGAAAAAAUUAUGGCAUAUCCAUACAAUAGUAUGCUAUGCAAUAAUGAAAAUGAACAAGCCACAUAGAUAAGUUUAACAAACACAUAUUGAGUCAAGGAAGCCAGACACAAAAAUAUGAAUCCAUAUACAUAAAAGUUUAAAAAUGAACAUUUUGGGGGAUUCAUUAAUAAGAGGUAAAAUUAAAAAGGAAACAAGGAAAUCACAAUAGUAGUCCCUCCAGAAGAACAGGAGGGGUUUUGAUGGAGAGAGGCUCACAAACUGCUGGCCAUAAUCUUUUGCCAGCUGGAGUUGGUAAUCAUAUUGGGAUUUAUUUUUAUAAUUAUUUCACCUAACUAUAAAAAUGUAUGUAUGUGUACUUUUCUGUGUGUUAUAUUUUAUAGUAAAUGAAGCAAAAAUACUAUAAAAUCAAGGAUAUGUGCACAAAGAUUUAGUUAUAAAUAUUAACUAUAACCAUGUUUAUUACAGGGGGAAACCCCAAACUUUGAGUCACAGCUUUGGAUUAUGUAAAAAGAAUCACCACACACACAGAAGAGAGUUUACUCACCCUCUAGAAAUUAUAUUAUAGAAGAAUAUCCCAUGGCCUCCAAAGACAAUUGAGAUGUAUAUUAAGUGGGAGAUGAUGUUUAUCAUACAUUAUGCACAGAUAUUUCAAUGUUUUAAAAUAAAGUUUGAAUGCUAAUACACAGAAAAAGAUUGGGAGAAACACAUUAUUAUGUUAACUAAGAUUUUAUUUGGGUGGUGACUUUAUGAGCAAUUUUUGUUUUCUUUGUUUUGCUCAUUUGUAUAGUUUUAAUUAUGAGCAAUGAAUAUGGAUUACUUUUGAAGGAAAUAAAAGGAGACAAUAUUCUAUUGGGAAACAAUAAUGAAAAAGGAGCCUAGAGAUCUCAAAAUGGAAAUAAGAAAUGUGGUAUUCGUUAAUAUGUGUAUUUGGAAAACACCUGGAAUCCUACCAGCUCCAAUGAGCCCAUUUGAAUAUAACUUUCCCCUACCAGUGGCCACCCACCUGGUUCCCCUUUCUCAGCAUGCAUAGCUCUGAUAGUGAAAUCAAAUACUGUACUGGCUGUCUGAUUUGGAAGUAAGUAGGGCAGUGGGGUGGGGGAAGGUGACGGGAUCCUCUGAGAACAGCCUGCCCCUAAUUGAAAGGACGUGAAAAUCCUCCACAUGUUGCAGGGAGAGCUGAUAGAUCAUCCCCCAGUUCUCCUCCAUCUGUUCUGCUGCCUCUUAUAGAAACCAAGACAGGAAAAAUAAUAUGUACUUAACACAGGAAAUGAGGGUAGUCAUUUGCAUGAUAUAGUACCAGUACCCCUUAAAAUGUUUUGGGUGGGGUGGGCGGUGAAACAAAAGGCACCAACCAGUGCCCAGAUCUGAUUUCAAACUGGGAAAAUGUAGGUACCUGAAGACACCAAACGAUGGUGAGCAGAGAGGACUCCACCGUCGGCACACACACACAUUCCCUACAGCCAGGUGGAUUCAACCGCUGUAUAUCUGUUACCUCCUCAAAGUGGAAUUUCCCAACUGCUGAGCUGUGGUACAUUGGUUUUCUGCAUGCUAUUGAUCCCCUCAGCCCUAGAGGAAAUGGUCUCACCUCUGGGCCAGCAAUUCUGACAGCAAGCACUUCAUAAAUUUGUAAAUUAUAGGAAUUCACAGAAUAUUUUUAUGGCAAGUAAAGAAAGUAAGAAAACGUUAAGUGGAAAAAAAAUGUUAAUAGCCAUCAGCAUGCAACUACUAUGAUUUUUAUUAUCCUUUUCCAUGUGUGUCAUAACGUAUAAAGAACUGGGAAGCAUUACAACUACCACAGGUCAUCAUCUCAUUAAAUAAAGUCCAAACAAAAGGAAGGGUCAGGGGAUGGGAGUUGGAGAGGGCCUUUUAAGUCAAGGUACUAUUUUUCAAUGGAAGGCCAGUUACUGUUAAUAGAUGUGCUAUAAGCUAAAGAGGGAUCAGAUGAAUUUGGGGAAAACCAAGUUUUCUUAAAAAGGUAUAUGUCAUUUCAGGAAUUCCUAGGGCCUUUAACUGACAAAAAUACAUUGUAACUGUCCAGAAGUAGAAACAGCAUAGAGUUAUUGGGCAAAAGCUUUUUGACAUAGAAUAUCAUCUGAGGAAUAUGUUUUGCAACUUGCUACAGUAAUCUUUUGCCCGUGGCUAAACCCACACUUCACUGAAUGUGUGAUAUAAAAUGGAUUUUGGUCGUCUCCCGCCUGAUGAUAUGAUUGUCCCCACACUGGCUUUUUAAUUUUUUAUUUACAGCAAGUGAUCCGCCUGAUAAAGCUGAAACUCCUAAUGGGCUAAUAAAACUACCCAGGGGCUUUCACCCACUUGGGUCCAAAGCCUUUGCAAAAUGACUUCCCGGAACCCAGGGGCAGUCUGUUGCUGGAGCAGCUAGCACUUUGCCAGGAAAUAGUUCGUCUUUGUUUUCAGUAUAUUUUUCUUUUCUCAGAAGAAAGAAAACAAAUAGUCUCGAGUAAAUGAAUAGAGGAACAUGCAGAAUUCUCUUUAAAAGGGCAUCUCCAUGACUUUGUCAAAUAAAUGAAGAUAUAAUUUAGACGUGUACACUCGCUUUACAUAUAACUGUGAUUCCUUGUUACUCUGCUGAUUUUCUUUGGAAAUAAUGAAUAUAAAUAUUCAGUCAGAGGGAUUUAUGUUGAUGAAAUCCAGUUAAGUUGUAAUAAGAACUAAAUUGAUUAAGAACAUAGGGCUAAGAAUCAUGUAUCUUCUUUACCUCACUUUUUCUAAGCUUCCAGGUAGCCCUUUAUUUGCAGUAAUGGAAACUCCAUCCUUCUGAGCAGAUUCACAUGAAGUCUGCAUGCCAAAAGAAAUAUAAUUUUGCAUUUAUUUUGUUUCUACUUCCACUUGGAAAGUAUCUUUUUUCCCCAAGAAACACAUUUAAAAGGAUAUAAAAGGGGCUUUCUGUUUUUGGCCAGAACCAGAAAAGGAAAGACAAUGGAGAAAAAAUAUUAGCUCAGCUUUUCCAGACUUGAAAUAAUGUGUGAUUUUUGCAGUUUCUCCAACUUUUGAGACCAGGUCUGGUAAAAAGCUUAAUUCUUUCAGCUGGCCAAUCACCUUUCCUGUGUGGAGAUAUUAAUGCCAAGUUAAAAUUUCUCCAUGUGAAUAAGGAAGAAAGCAUUUGGGUACAGCAGAGCUGGGACUAGAUUGAUAAAUAAAAUCCUUCUGUCCCUGCCCCAUUAAUUCUCCCUUUCACCAUUUGGAGGUCCUGUGGGCUGAAGCAGUACAUCAUUUAAAUAGCACCUUCAUGUGUUUCCCUGAGACCUAAUUAAAAUUGAUGUUGUCAUCUGGUGUUUCCUUGUGCAAUUUGUCUAGCUCCAUGCAAAUGGCAAAACAGAGCUCUUCGUUAGGACUUUGUCCUUCUUCAAGAAACUAUCCAAGAUUUUCUUCAGGUGCUCCAGAAAACGAUUUGGCUAAUUGGGGAAAAAAAAAAAAAACCUUGAGAGUCACCAAGUUCACUGAUUUCCUUGGCAAAAUAUCCAAGUGGUCCCUUUGAAUGGAUCUGCUAUGACAGG
This is a long non-coding RNA of Sapajus apella (tufted capuchin), 6649 nucleotides long. RefSeq lists it as uncharacterized. NCBI's taxonomy places the organism in Eukaryota, Metazoa, Chordata, Mammalia, Primates, Cebidae. The record is from RefSeq and is a predicted model, not a curated record. The transcript has 2 exons.